GCCAGCAAGUAAUGUGGGGACUCUAGAAAGACUGCCUGCGUAAGCAGAGAGGAAGGAGGGGACGACGUCAAAUCAGCAUGGCCCUUAUGCCUAGGGCUACACACGUGCUACAAUGGCGUAUACAAAGGGUAGCGAGCCAGUGAUGGUAAGCCAAUCUCUAAAAGUACGUCUCAGUUCGGAUUGAAGUCUGCAACUCGACUUCAUGAAGCUGGAAUCGCUAGUAAUCGUGUAUCAGCAAUGACACGGUGAAUACGUUCCCGGACCUUGUACACACCGCCCGUCAAGCCAUGGAAGUUGGAUAUACCUGAAGAUGGUUGCUGUAAGGCGCUGUUUAGGGUAGAGCUAGCAACUGGGGCUAAGUCGUAACAAGGUAGCCGUACCGGAAGGUGUGGCUGGAAUACCUCCUUUCUAGAGACUUGGUUGUUCUGUGGUAUGAUGUCAUUCAAAAGUUCUGUUAAAGUAUUUAACAGUUAUUGAAAAAACUUAAGCCUGGGGCUUGUAGCUCAGGUGGUUAGAGCGCUACACUGAUAAUGUAGAGGUCCGUGGUUCGAGUCCACGCAAGCCCACUUUAGUGCUUGUUGCAUACAAAAUAUAUUUUUUGUUGGUCUCAGACACAUGGGGGAUUAGCUCAGCUGGCUAGAGCGCCUGCCUUGCACGCAGGAGGUCAUCGGUUCGACUCCGAUAUCCUCCACUUUUUUCUUUAAAAUAAAUACUUUAUCAAGCAACUUUAGUUGCUCUAAACUGUACGCAUAUUAUUUGUUUUGCUAUAGCCGUAACAAAAUAUUUAUAUGCUAUAUGACAGUUGAAAGUUCUUUGACAUAUUGGGAUAAUGUAGAUUUUAUUAAUAUUAAAACACCGAGCACUAUUUUAUAAUAGUACUCAUACGUUUUCGGAUUUAUUUAUUAAAUCCUUGAAGGAAGUAUGUAAGAGCGCAGGGGGGAUGCCUUGGCUCUCAGAGGCGAUGAAGGACGUGAUAAGCUGCGAUAAGCUACGGGG
Molecule: small RNA, 996 nt
Filed under: uncultured bacterium
Lineage: Bacteria
Description: bacterial SSU rRNA
Rfam family: Bacterial small subunit ribosomal RNA (bases 1-408)
Source: RNAcentral